RNAcentral lists this ribosomal RNA (642 nucleotides) under Triticum aestivum (bread wheat). Its description in RNAcentral is "partial small subunit ribosomal RNA". Lineage: Eukaryota; Viridiplantae; Streptophyta; Magnoliopsida; Poales; Poaceae. The record is from RNAcentral.
AUGGCGGCAGCGGCUGGAGAGGCCCCGCGGGCGCUAUCCCAGAAGGAGCAGGACAUACAGAUGACGCUUGCCGCCGACGUCCACCUCGGCACCAAGAACCGUGACUUCCAGAUGGAGCGCUACGCCUACAAGCGCCGCUCCGACGGCAUCUACAUCAUCAAUCUUGGCAUCAUGGCCAUCGAGAACCCCCAGGACAUCAUCGUCCAGUCCACUCGCCCCUACGGCCAGUGCGCUGUCCUCAAGUUUGCGCAACACACCGGUGCCAACGCCAUCGCCAGGAGGCACACCCCUGGUACCUUCACCAACCAGAUGCAGACCUCCUUCAGCAAGCCCCGCCUGCUCAUCCUCACUAACCCAAGCACCGACCACAAGUCUGCUCUAGGGAACAUCCGUACCAUUGCCUUCUGUGACACUGACUCUCCCAUGCGAUACGUCGAUAUCGGCAUCGCAGCAAACAACAAGGGGAGGAGCAGCAUUGGCUACCUCUACUGGCUCUUGGCCAGGAUGGUUCUAGUAGGCAAACAGUGGGCUUCCUUUCAAGUUAAAUUAACUAAUCAUCAUUUGGCUCAUCAAGUUUUUAUUUCUUUUGUGACAUUUCUACCCUCUUGUAACAUUACUUGGAGAGCUUGUAAAGUACUAUAG